Molecule: ribosomal RNA, 301 nt
Filed under: uncultured bacterium
Lineage: Bacteria
Description: partial 16S ribosomal RNA
Rfam family: Bacterial small subunit ribosomal RNA
Source: RNAcentral
CAGUCGCCACGGUAAUACAGAGGGUGCGAGCGUUAAUCGGAUUUACUGGGCGUAAAGCGUGCGUAGGCGGCUUUUUAAGUCGGAUGUGAAAUCCCUGAGCUUAACUUAGGAAUUGCAUUCGAUACUGGGAAGCUAGAGUAUGGGAUAGGAUGGUAGAAUUCCAGGUGUAGCGGUGAAAUGCGUAGAGAUCUGGAGGAAUACCGAUGGCGAAGGCAGCCAUCUGGCCUAAUACUGACGCUGAGGUACGAAAGCAUGGGGAGCAAACAGGAUUAGAUACCCGAGUAGUCCCUGUCUCUUAUAU